Molecule: non-coding RNA, 21 nt
Filed under: Rattus norvegicus (Norway rat)
Lineage: Eukaryota; Metazoa; Chordata; Mammalia; Rodentia; Muridae
Source: RNAcentral
AAGAAACAAGGAUGGCCUACC